This 71-nucleotide non-coding RNA is filed under the name unclassified sequences. RNAcentral's name for it is "Flavo-1 RNA". It matches the Rfam family "Flavo-1 RNA". RNAcentral also lists the same sequence under 1 other name. The record is from RNAcentral.
CUGCGUUAGGGAUUGAAGCGAUAUCCUUUUUUGUUUUUAUAAAAAAGAUUUAGCGAAAAGCCCGACCACGC